CAGAGGGUGCAAGCGUUGCUCGGAAUCAUUGGGCGUAAAGGGCAAGUAGGUGGUCUCAUUUGUCUUGUGUGAAAUCCUUGGGCUUAACUCAAGAAGUGCGCAAGAAACGGUGAGACUCGAGUUCUGGAGAGGGUCGUGGAAUUCCCGGUGUAGCGGUGAAAUGCGUAGAGAUCGGGAGGAACACCAGAGGCGAAGGCGGCGACCUGGACAGAUACUGACACUCAACUGCGAAAGCGUGGGGAGCAAACAGGAUUAGAUACCCUGGUAGUCCACGCUGUAAACGAUGGGUACUAGGUUUGGUGGGUCUUGACCCCCGCCGAACCGGAGCUAACGCAAUAAGUACCCCGCCUGGGAAGUACGGUCGCAAGACU
Molecule: ribosomal RNA, 371 nt
Filed under: uncultured organism
Description: bacterial SSU rRNA
Rfam family: Bacterial small subunit ribosomal RNA
Source: RNAcentral